This 366-nucleotide long non-coding RNA is filed under the name Salvia miltiorrhiza (redroot sage). RNAcentral's name for it is "long non-coding RNA (SMIL_LNC009599)". The record is from RNAcentral. Lineage: Eukaryota; Viridiplantae; Streptophyta; Magnoliopsida; Lamiales; Lamiaceae.
ACACCUUAUCGGUUUUUCACUCUCGGGUGCGUCGACACCUGCCUCGUUUCCGACGUCCGACGGCCUCCACUGUAACUGCGUCCGGCGGUCAGAAAGCAGGAGUUAUUUUUGAUUUUUUUUUUCACAGAUUCUUUUUCAUAUUUUUAGUAUUUAUUUGUUGAUUUGUUUGAUGAUUUCGAAUGAUUGUUUAUAGUUUAUACAUUGUUCAUUGUUGAUUUGUUAAUUUUGUUUAGGCAACCGCAGCAAUCAAUUUUAUGCAUUGUUGAUUAAUUUUGAAUGAUUUGUGCUGCUGUUUAAUACGAGAGAAUCAAUACUUCAAGUCUUCAAUAGCCUCUAAUUAAUCGGAAAAAAAAAAUUAAAAACAGG